Penaeus vannamei (Pacific white shrimp) is the source of this 326-nucleotide non-coding RNA. The record is from RefSeq and is a predicted model, not a curated record. Lineage: Eukaryota; Metazoa; Arthropoda; Malacostraca; Decapoda; Penaeidae.
UUACGGUCCGGUUUACGAGGCUCCCAGAGGCCGGAUGAAAUCUACCGGGCGCUGACGGGAUUACGAGCCGUGGGUGGAGGAGACGAGGCUGAGCUCAGCAUGUCCGCCCUCAGGCUGGCCCUGCACCACGCCCCGCCCCACGCCCACGUCUUCCUCUUCACGGACGCUUCUGUCAAGGACCCCGAGCUCUUUGACACGGUGGUGGCCCUCGCGCACGCCAAGAGCAUCAAGGUGACGCCCGUGUUGACGAUGCCAGUCGACUACGGCGGGAUCAGCGGCAGGAUGCUUCUCCCGGAGAUCGAGGACGAGGACGAGGAGGAGAACGU